CUGGUACAUCACACGUGUUUGCGACUUUCGGUCCGAAUCGUCUAGAGGUUAGGACAACACGUUGUGGCCGUGUAAACCCAGGUUCGAUUCCUGGUUCGGACAGCUUUUCUAUUUGCUUUGCCAUCAAAUGCUCAACUCUUUCACGUCAACUUCGUAAUAUUUUGUUGGGUGUUUUUGUUUUUAUUGUUGUCAAUGAUCGCUGGGAGUGGGGCAAUUGUGUUGCACCUGUAGGGCGAUUUUUCAGCCGGUGUCUUGUGCAGUUGCUUUCACUCGAGAUCUAUCUUCUUUCGCGACUUUCCUACGGGAAAGCAUAUCCUUUUGGAAUCCUUAAAGCUUCACACAGAUUUUUUUUGACGGCAAACUCAUGGAGACUUAUGGGCCAGCUCGUCUGGCCUUGGAGUGUGACUGCCUAUCCAGAGCGCGUAACGCGUGAUUUUUGUCAGCCUCACAAUAGGGUUCCUCAGAUCCUUCAGGGGGAGGCUUUUCUUUUGCCACGACUCCGUCAUUCCCCUUCGCCGCUUCAUGUGCAUAACCAGAUGAAAUCAACGAGCGUAGCACGUUCUGGUGGUCCUCAUUCGUGAUAGACCGUUGCGUAAUACAUCACGUCGAAACGAGCGGAAUCAACCUCCACCCGAAACAUCUCGCCAUUCGCGCUCGCGUGAACAAGAGAGUGAUGGCGACUGUUGCCUUGCCGUGCCUCGAUGUAUCAUGGCGCCGUUCCACGUGGACUCACGAGAGAUCGCGAGUUGCACGUGUUUCCUGUUUCUCUAAAACUGCAACAACGGCGUUGGAGGGGUCUGCCUGGCGGAACGGUGGGGCUAGCAUUAUUGCAGCGCUUAUUCGGGUAUGCACUUCACCUACUUUCACAGCUAUAUUUGCGAUGAUCCUAUUGCGGUUUUGAUCCACAUCUGCAUGCCGAUGUCUGAACACUCGAGGCGAUCUGAGGAUUGGAAUCUUAGGUCGCAGGGUCGACGCAAACACGCACGUCACUGCCUGCAACAGUGGAGGUUCUGUGUGAUAAGGAAGAUCAUGG
This 1033-nucleotide transfer RNA is filed under the name Toxoplasma gondii VEG. The stretch from base 31 to 102 matches the Rfam family "tRNA". Lineage: Eukaryota; Apicomplexa; Conoidasida; Eucoccidiorida; Sarcocystidae. The record is from RNAcentral.